Molecule: ribosomal RNA, 29 nt
Filed under: Scolecobasidium cf. constrictum CBS 124172
Lineage: Eukaryota; Fungi; Ascomycota; Dothideomycetes; Venturiales; Sympoventuriaceae
Description: Ochroconis cf. constricta CBS 124172 partial 28S ribosomal RNA
Source: RNAcentral
GAGGAACGGCGACGGAAGAGAAAUCGAUC